Long non-coding RNA from Herpailurus yagouaroundi (jaguarundi), 902 nucleotides. RefSeq lists it as uncharacterized. The record is from RefSeq and is a predicted model, not a curated record. Lineage: Eukaryota; Metazoa; Chordata; Mammalia; Carnivora; Felidae. The transcript is spliced from 4 exons.
GGCUUCAGGGAGAGGCUCAGACAGAAGACCGGACACCACAGAGGAUGAUGCCAGAGGGCCCCUCAAAAACUUCUGGGCUCCCGAGGCUCCUAAUCACGCUUGAGGGUGAACCUUCCGGGGAGACCCUCCCCUAGCCCAGCCCGAAAAGUCUCACCUCCUCCUCUAGGAAGUGGUUCUCCAGGAAGUCACAGAGAUGGCUCUCUCCACGCGCACGCAGAUCCCGAAGGGCUUGGUUCAGGAUCUUCCCCAGAACCUUUGUGGCUUCCUUGGCCUCCAGGGUUUUACCCCCACUCCUCUCGCGACGGCUUCUGUACUUUCCCGAAAAGGGCACGCAGCCGCCCCCUCCCCCACGCUGUUUUUGCAUUUUCAAGGGACGCUGGGUGAUCUCGCUUCUCCUCGCCAACGGGCAGAAGUGGCCGACGCCCUGCGGAGCCACACCCUCCAGGCCAGAUAGAAGCCCAGAGAAAGGCAGACAAGUACAUCUGUGUGAGGGACUCUUGGGUUCAAAUUUUUCUGCUCCUCUCACAUAUGGACCUUUGUCAAGAAUAGCUGCCCUGAACUUCUCCAGCAGAUGGAAGUUCAUCUCUUCCAUGACAUCUGUUUUGCCAUUUUGCUCCAUAGCUAUUCAAGACUUUCAAGCACUGCUCUGUAUGCUCUUCCUAGAGAUUCCCUCUGCUUCAGAUGCAGUGAUGAGAAUGUCCGCCUCUGUGCUUCUUCAGUGACAAUGACACACCCAUAACACCCCCUGAGCUCCACCCUGCUUUCAGUAGCUGCCUCUGCAUGUUACCUCACUUCUGUGUUCUUCCAUAGUUUUUCUGAUGAUGAAACAGUGGAGUGAUUACUUUCCAUCCUAUACAUCUCAAUUAGGUCUUGGUUAAAAAUAGAUUUUCCCUUGCAAGAAA